ACUACAAUUUUAUUUAAUUAUGGAGUAUAAGGGGGUAUCCAUUGAGAGAGUAUUCUAUUUUUUUUAAAUAAUCAAAAAACUCACUAGACAUGUAUUCUCCUCUUCGAUCAGAUCAAAGAGUUUUAAUACUUUUACUAGUUUAUUUCUCAACUAUUUUGAUACUCUUUAAAUUUAUCAAAAGCUUUGGAUUUGUAUUCCAUUAAAUGCAUAUAUCCAAAUCUAGACCUAUCAUCAGUAAAUAUGAUG
Molecule: long non-coding RNA, 246 nt
Filed under: Elaeis guineensis (African oil palm)
Lineage: Eukaryota; Viridiplantae; Streptophyta; Magnoliopsida; Arecales; Arecaceae
Description: long non-coding RNA (EGUI_LNC070513)
Source: RNAcentral